GAUGAAGAACGUAGCGAACUGCGAUAAGUAAUGUGAAUUGCAGAAUUCAGUGAAUCAUCGAGUCUUUGAACGCACAUUGCGCCCCCUGGCAUUCCGGGGGGCAUGCCUGUCCGAGCGUCAUUGCUGCCCUUCAAGCCCGGCUUGUGUGUUGGGUCGUCGUCCCCCCCGGGGGACGGGCCCGAAAGGCAGCGGCGGCACCGCGUCCGGUCCUCGAGCGUAUGGGGCUUUGUCACCCGCUCGAUUAGGGCCGGCCGGGCGCCAGCCGGCGUCUCCAACCUUCUAUUUUACCAGGUUGACCUCGGAUCAGGUAUGGAUACCCGCUGAACUUAAGCAUAUCAAUAGCGGAGGA
RNAcentral lists this unclassified non-coding RNA (349 nucleotides) under soil metagenome. RNAcentral describes it as "partial contains 5.8S ribosomal RNA, internal transcribed spacer 2, and large subunit ribosomal RNA". The stretch from base 1 to 120 matches the Rfam family "5.8S ribosomal RNA", at positions 35 to 154 of the family's 154-position model. The record is from RNAcentral.